Molecule: long non-coding RNA, 644 nt
Organism: Lagenorhynchus albirostris (white-beaked dolphin)
Lineage: Eukaryota; Metazoa; Chordata; Mammalia; Artiodactyla; Delphinidae
Exons: 3
Source: RefSeq, a predicted model, not a curated record
GGCGAGGGCGGCCCAGCCAGGCCGUAGUGCUCCAAGAGCACUGCCGCUAAGGCCGCGGCCGCCAGCCCGGCGACCACCCUGACGGCCAGCGCUGCGACCAUUCCCGCCGGGGCGCGGCACGCGAGUGCGGGGCCGGGUCAGGGACCGGCCGGGACCGAGCGGUGCCCACCGGGAGCUGCUUUGGCCGCACUUCCGGACUCUAUGGUCGCGGGGCCUACGGCGCCGGUCUGGCCAGCCGGCGCUGGCACCUGCGCCUGGCUGUGUACCUGCAAGCCGCCCGCGGCUCUGGGCUCGGUUUGCUAAUGCAAUGCGGGUACCUUUGGAAUUCAAGACAUUGAUCUAAGCAGAAAACAUAAAGAAACAUAAUGUGCACAGGGAAGCCGACAUUUCAGCAACAACUGGACACUGUCCCUGGUGGUCUAUUGGCUAGGAUUCAGCACUCUAACUGACACGGCCUGACUUCAGUCUCUGGAUGAGGAAACAAAAUCCUGCUUCAAGCCACUACAGGCCUAGGCCACCCAAGAUCAAGGACACAGCAAGAAGUCAGCAGUCUGCAACCUGGAAGAGUGUCUUCACCAGAACCUGACCACACUGGCACCCUGAUCUUACACUUCCAGCCUCCAGAACAGUGAGAAAUAAAUUUC